RNAcentral lists this ribosomal RNA (427 nucleotides) under uncultured bacterium. Its description in RNAcentral is "bacterial SSU rRNA". It matches the Rfam family "Bacterial small subunit ribosomal RNA", at positions 355 to 774 of the family's 1533-position model. The record is from RNAcentral.
CUAAGAAUCUUGCGCAAUGGGCGAAAGCCUGAUCCAGCCAUGCCGCGUGAGUGUAGAAGGCCUUCGGGUUGUAAAGCUCUUUUAGUCGGAAAGAAAGAGUUGCAAUGAAUAAUUGUGAUUUAUGACGGUACCGACAGAAAAAGCACCGGCUAACUACGUGCCAGCAGCCGCGGUAAUACGUAGGGUGCGAGCGUUAAUCGGAAUUACUGGGCGUAAAGGGUGCGCAUGCGGUCUUGCAAGUCAGAUGUGAAAGCCCCGGGCUUAACCUGGGAAUUGCGUUUGAAACUAGAAGACUAGAGUGCAGCAGAGGGGAGUGGAAUUCCAUGUGUAGCAGUGAAAUGCGUAGAGAUGUGGAAGAACACCGAUGGCGAAGGCAGCUCCCUGGGUUGACACUGACGCUCAUGCACGAAAGCGUGGGGAGCAAACA